GACGAACGCUGGCGGCGUGCUUAACACAUGCAAGUCGAACGGAAAGGCCCUGCUUUUGUGGGGUGCUCGAGUGGCGAACGGGUGAGUAACACGUGAGUAACCUGCCCUUGACUUUGGGAUAACUUCAGGAAACUGGGGCUAAUACCGGAUAGGAGCUCCUGCUGCAUGGUGGGGGUUGGAAAGUUUCGGCGGUUGGGGAUGGACUCGCGGCUUAUCAGCUUGUUGGUGGGGUAGUGGCUUACCAAGGCUUUGACGGGUAGCCGGCCUGAGAGGGUGACCGGGCACAUUGGGACUGAGGUACCGCCCCGAACCCUUCGGGAGGCAGCAGUGGGGAAUAUUGCACAAUGGGCGGAAGCCUGAUGCAGCAACGCCGCGUGCGGGAUGACGGCCUUCGGGUUGUAAACCGCUUUCGCCUGUGACGAAGCGUGAGUGACGGUAAUGGGUAAAGAAGCACCGGCUAACUACGUG
Molecule: ribosomal RNA, 468 nt
Filed under: uncultured bacterium
Lineage: Bacteria
Description: partial 16S ribosomal RNA
Rfam family: Bacterial small subunit ribosomal RNA
Source: RNAcentral